AGGACAUGGGUUGAGAUUGGAGAUGGAGGUUGGAAAUGGAGGAACGAGGAUGGAGGACAUAGGUUGAGAUUGGAGAUGGAGGUUGGGAAUGGGAGAACAAGGAUGGAGGACAUAGGUUGAGAUUAGAGAUGGAGGUUGGGAAUGGGGGAACGAGGAUGGAGGACAUGGGUUGAGAUUGGAGAUGGAAGUUGGGAAUGGGAGAACGAGGAUGGAGGACAUGGGUUGAGAUUGGAAAUGGAAGUUGGGAAUGGGGGAAUGAGGAUGGAGCACAUGGGUUGAAAUUGGAGAUGGAGGUUGGGAAUGGGAGAACGAGGAUGGAGGACAUGGGUUGAGAUUGGAGAUGGAGGUUGGGAAUGGGGGAACGAGGAUGGAGGACAUGGGUUGAGAUUAGAGAUGGAGGUUGGGAAUGGGAGAACGAGGAUGGAAGUUGCCAAUGGCGGGAACAAGGGGAACAAAGAUGAAGGUACAAUGAUGGUUGAAAUAGAUGGGUUGAUUUAGUAAAAGCCUCAGUUGCUUUAAAAUUCUCCAAAAAUAUUAAA
RNAcentral lists this long non-coding RNA (539 nucleotides) under Physcomitrium patens. RNAcentral's name for it is "long non-coding RNA (PPAT_LNC004569)". Lineage: Eukaryota; Viridiplantae; Streptophyta; Bryopsida; Funariales; Funariaceae. The record is from RNAcentral.